This 480-nucleotide ribosomal RNA is filed under the name uncultured bacterium. RNAcentral describes it as "partial 16S ribosomal RNA". It matches the Rfam family "Bacterial small subunit ribosomal RNA", at positions 28 to 506 of the family's 1533-position model. The record is from RNAcentral.
GAUGAACGCUGGCGGCGUGCCUAACACAUGCAAGUCGAGCGAAGCGCUUAAAUUAGAUUUCUUCGGAAUGACGAUUUUUGUGACUGAGCGGCGGACGGGUGAGUAACGCGUGGGUAACCUGCCUCAUACAGGGGGAUAACAGUUAGAAAUGACUGCUAAUACCGCAUAAGACCCCAGCUUCGCAUGAAGCGGUGGUAAAAACUCCGGUGGUAUGAGCUGGACCCGCGUCUGAUUAGCUAGUUGGUAAGGUAACGGCUUACCAAGGCGACGAUCAGUAGCCGACCUGUGAGGGUGCCCGGCAACAUUGGGACUGGUACACGGCCCAGACUCCUACGGGAGGCAGCAGUUGGGAAUAUUGCACAAUGGGGGAAACCCUGAUGCAGCGACGCCGCGAGAAGGAUGAAGUAUUUCGGUAUGUAAACUUCUAUCAGCAGGGAAGAAAGUGACGGUACCUGACGAAGAAGCCCCGGCUAACUACGU